CCUCUGCUCUCCAAUCUCCAAUCUCCAAUCUCCAAUGCUGAGCUACAAAGUAAAAAGUAACACUCCUAACGUAGUGACGACAGAAGACUUUGGAGACGAGGAUUGAAGCCAUGGCGCCAGCGGCAACAGCUCCGAUCAGCCGCUGCGUGCUCAUCGUAAUUCUCAUAUUCUCCCUGCUGAUCCAGCCGUCGAUCUCCAUAUACUGCGACGAGGACGACUGCUACGAUCUCCUCGGGGUUCCUCAAAAUGCCAAUGCCUCCGAAAUAAAGAAGGCUUACUAUAGGCUCUCACUCAAACAUCAUCCGGAUAAAAAUCCUGAUCCGGAAUCAAGGAAAAUUUUUGUGAAAAUAGCAAAUGCGUAUGAGAUUUUGAAAGAUGAAGCAACAAGGGAACAGUAUGAUUAUGCAAUUGCACAUCCAGAGGAGGUCUUUUAUAAUACAGCUAGGUACUACCGGGCUUAUUACGGUCACAAAACAGAUCCUCGUGCUGUCAUUGUGGGUCUUCUAUUGGUGCUUUCUGCAUUUCAAUAUCUAAACCAGUGGACAAGGUAUAAGCAGGCUGUUGACAUGGUCAAGAGAACACCAGCUUUCAAAAAUAAGCUGAAGGCUUUGGAACUUGAACGCACAGGUGGAAUGACAAUUAGAAAGAAGAGUAACAAGCAAAUAAACAAGAAAAUGGAAGAAGACCUCAGCAACGAGCUUGAACUGCAGAUUAAAGGGGCUGAAAAGCCAUCUGUCUGGGGACUUCUUGGCAUUCGUUUCAUUCUUCUUCCAUAUACUAUUGGGAAAAAGCUAGUGUCAUGCAGGCUUGAACCUAGAAUCUUGAAUUUGGCUAUGUACAAGAAAACUACUGAUUAGCUUUACGUCCACAGCUGCUGUUGUGGCAUGGAUGUUGGUUUUGGAGGUACAACGUCAAACGAUCUCCUUAUUCAUGGGAAGAUGCCUCCUAUUUGACACAAAGAUCCUUGGGCGUGCCGCCCGAUUCAUGGACAUUCAUUGAUGAAUCAACAAAGGAAGAUCUUGUACAGCGACGUCUAUGGGAGAAAUCCAAUUUGCAAAGCUACCUUGCUGAGAUGCGGAAAGAAUCAAAGCGCAGAAGAUGACAAAUCUCAGAUUGCAUCCACGAUGGAAGGCAGCAGGCAGUAGGCAGGACUAUUUCACGCUGACAAUUUUGGAGGAGUUUUUCCCAUCAAUCGGGGAAAUAUCUAAUAGUACAAGAAUACCAUACUCAAGUUAACACUUUUAUUGGUCAAACCAUAGAAGAGGAUUCUUUUCGACGGUGGGAUACAUUUUGUUGUAGAAAAUAGGCCAGGUUCCUGUUGAUGUUUCGCGGUGUCAUUAGUGUAAUUGUGAGCAACUUCUGCUUAAUGCUGGAACCUGUUGUGGUGAUGUGACACUACGCAGUUCAUAAUAACCUGUUGUGUUUAACAAUUCGAUUUGGCACUUAAAAUUUAAUGGUUCAGAUUUUAAUAUAUUCAGAGAGAGAGGUGCAUGAUUACAAAGA
RNA transcript from Coffea arabica (coffee), 1503 nucleotides. It is a transcript of the gene named chaperone protein dnaJ 50-like, with no coding region annotated. The record is from RefSeq and is a predicted model, not a curated record. NCBI's taxonomy places the organism in Eukaryota, Viridiplantae, Streptophyta, Magnoliopsida, Gentianales, Rubiaceae.